Alexandromys fortis (reed vole) is the source of this 2254-nucleotide long non-coding RNA. RefSeq lists it as uncharacterized. Lineage: Eukaryota; Metazoa; Chordata; Mammalia; Rodentia; Cricetidae. The transcript has 4 exons. The record is from RefSeq and is a predicted model, not a curated record.
UUUACUGAAGGGGACUCUGUAAUCCACAGCAUGGAGGAAUCUUUGGUCCCACUUGGCAAACUGAUUUGCUACGUGGGGCAGUGGGUGCAUCUCAAGGACUCCUGGGCCUGUCUCGGAAUUCAUGACAUUGUCACCUCUUUCCUGCCUGGCCCUAAUCUGCAUUUGCCACCCAACUUGAAGUGACCUUGGGAAGUGGAGAGAAACCAGCCAGCAAAUUCAGUUCUCAUGCCCUUGUUCUGCUGCGUUGCCAGCCCAGGGGAGGUGGGGGCUCUUUCUGUCAGAAAUAGACUUGGUAGACAAUGGCCUCACUAAUGGUUCUCAUAGGAGCCUGCUGUCUUGACCCCUUGAGGAAUUUAGGGGAUUACCCUGGCUUGAAGAACUGAGUGACACCUUUGCAGCUUCGUUUACUGAUGGCAAUCAAUUUCUACCUCUUUGGAGCCAACCCUGAGUAUUUUCUUAUAUUAAUGUGAGUUUGUUGCCAAGGUGGGAAUGACUUUUCUGUCCUUAGGACUUGAGGACCUUGAUCUUGGUGGGCUGGGAACCUCUUAAAGUGUACUAAGUUCUGGGUUGUCUCAGAGAGACAAGAGUUUGCGUCCCAGUGGGAGCCCUGGUGCUGGAGUCUGGAAUGGGAAUGUCUUUCUGUAUGUGUGCAGUCUGUGGCUUUUGAACUACCUAUGACCCAACACAUGCAUGUCACUGAGGUUGGACACCCCUGAGCAAAUACAUCUGUUCUGUGCCUGGUGUGAUGGGAUGGCCCCUGGUAGAGUCUCAGUCCUGAGGAAAGCCACCCAAUGGGACCACCGGUUGGGGGCUGGGCUCAAGGAAAGGAUCCUUAUGAGCUACAUGCUCUGUCCUGUCUUGAUGGCCAUUGUUUCUUGCUUCUCCACAGUGGAGCUUAGGUGAAUUCUUUACAUCAAGAAUUAUUUGAGCCCGACAAUGGUAGUGCAUGCCUUUAGUCCCAACACUUGGGAGGCAGAGAAUCACUGAGUUUGAGGCCAGCUGGUGAGUUCCAGGAUAUUUGAAAAGCUGUGUCUGUGGGUUUCCUGGUGUACUUCAGGAGGUCAGGGAAUGGUCAUGCACAGGUCAUUCUUUGCUGAACUCUUUCUUCUGAGAGAGAUCUGUUCUCUCUCAGAGGAUAAGAGUAUAUCAGAUUUUUAAAGGUGGCCUGGAAUAAUUCUUAGUCUUUUGCUGUGAGACAGUGGUUUUACCCUGUAAAGAUUUGUUUCUUAUACCGGUUUAAUAAAUGCUGAUUGGACAGUAGCCAGGCAGGAAGUAUAGGCAGGGCAACGAGAAUUCUGGGAAGAGGGAAGUUUCAGUCUGCAGUCGUCACCCAGACAGAGAGGAAGCCAGACACAGAGCAAGCAAGAUGUGACUGCCUCACCGAAAAAGCUGGCUCUUAUACUUUUAAGUCUAAAGCAGACUUUUGGUGUCAAGACUGAAAUCCUGAGGGAACACCAGACCAGAAAAGAAGCUGACCCUUGGGAGAAAUGUCCUUCCAAGAGGACACGGGGGUAUCAGCAGUACUCCAAUAUGUUCGUGUGAAAAAAGAGACACAGCGAUGCCCGGACUAUUCUACGCCUUCCCAGUUGCAUGCUACUAGCGAACGGAGCCAUGAGGAUGGUCAUAGAGCAUUUGGAGCAAGAACAUCUGGCAAUCCCUGACCUCUAGACUUCUGUUGCCUAGUGACCCACUGUGCUGGGUAGACACAGUAACUCAUGGCUGUGGUUGAAAAACUGACCAUUCUGCUUGAGCAGGCAAGGUGCUACAAGAAACAGAAUGAAGCUGGGACCCCAAGCACUGCUCUCAAGACACCUUGAAAACUUGGAGGCGGCACAUGCUUUUAAUCCCAGCAUUUGGGAGGCAGAGGCAGGUGGAUCUACAGACCCAGCUCCAGGACAGCCAGGCCUACACAAAGAAACCCUGUCUUCAAAAACAAAACAAGACAGCCUGAAGCUCUGGGGGGCCUGAAGUGGUGGUUGGCUGAGAUGCAGGCUGCUGCCAGGCAACUCUGUGAGCUCAUUUUGUGGCUUCACUGGAAGCACAUCAAAUACUUGGCACUAGGGCUUCCCUCCCCCGGAGACCAGAAUGCAAGUUCUUGCUCUGAAAUGUGACAUAGUGCCUGUCACUUGCUGCACAGGGACAUGGAUACACCAAGAACCCUUUUUCCUGAUGUUGGGAAGUGCAUACAUUUUAACUCUGGUGGAAGGCAGUGGAUGGGUAUCUAGGGACGACCAGACAACCAAUGUGUAUGAGA